This 253-nucleotide ribosomal RNA is filed under the name uncultured bacterium. RNAcentral describes it as "partial 16S ribosomal RNA". It matches the Rfam family "Bacterial small subunit ribosomal RNA", at positions 524 to 776 of the family's 1533-position model. The record is from RNAcentral.
UACGUAGGGGGCAAGCGUUGUCCGGAAUCAUUGGGCGUAAAGGGCGCGUAGGCGGCAAUUCAAGUCAGCUGUGAAAUCUCCGGGCUUAACUCGGAACGGUCAGCUGAUACUGCUUUGCUAGAGUGCAGAAGGGGCAAUCGGAAUUCUUGGUGUAGCGGUGAAAUGCGUAGAUAUCAAGAGGAACACCUGAGGUGAAGACGGGUUGCUGGGCUGACACUGACGCUGAGGCGCGAAAGCUAGGGUAGCAAACGGG